CCCGGGUUCCAUGGACGAAAGUCUGAACGGAGCAACGCCGCGUGAACGAAUGAAGGCCUUUCGGGAUCGUAAAGUUCUGUUGUUAGGGAAGAACGCUACCAAAAGAACUGCUGGUACCUUGACGGUACCUAACCAAAAAGCCACGGGCUAACUACGUGCCAGCAGCCGCGGUAAUACGUAGGUGGCAAGCGUUGUCCGGAAUUAUUGGGCGUAAAGCGCGCGCAGGUGGUUCCUUAAGUCUGAUGUGAAAUCCCACGGCUCAACCCCGGAUGGUCCUUGGAAACUGGGGACCUUGAGUGCAAAAAAGGAAAGGGGAAUUCCCAGUGUAGCGGUGAAAUGCGUAAAGAUUUGGAGGAACACCAGGGGCGAAGGCGACUUUCUGGUCUGUAACUGACACUGAGGCGCGAAAGCGUGGGGAGAAAACAGGAUUUAGACCCCCCGGGGGA
This 446-nucleotide ribosomal RNA is filed under the name Peribacillus simplex. RNAcentral's name for it is "bacterial SSU rRNA". It matches the Rfam family "Bacterial small subunit ribosomal RNA", at positions 354 to 792 of the family's 1533-position model. Lineage: Bacteria; Bacillati; Bacillota; Bacilli; Caryophanales; Bacillaceae. The record is from RNAcentral.